CAGUAGCCGCGGUAAAACGUAGGUCCCGAGCGUUGUCCGGAUUUAUUGGGCGUAAAGCGAGCGCAGGCGGUUAGAUAAGUCUGAAGUUAAAGGCUGUGGCUUAACCAUAGUACGCUUUGGAAACUGUUUAACUUGAGUGCAAGAGGGGAGAGUGGAAUUCCAUGUGUAGCGGUGAAAUGCGUAGAUAUAUGGAGGAACACCGGUGGCGAAAGCGGCUCUCUGGCUUGUAACUGACGCUGAGGCUCGAAAGCGUGGGGCGCAAACAGGAUUAGAUACCCGUGUAGUCCCUGUCUCUUAUACA
RNAcentral lists this ribosomal RNA (301 nucleotides) under uncultured bacterium. RNAcentral's name for it is "partial 16S ribosomal RNA". It matches the Rfam family "Bacterial small subunit ribosomal RNA", at positions 509 to 808 of the family's 1533-position model. The record is from RNAcentral.